GAGGAAGGUGGGGAUGACGUCAAAUCAUCAUGCCCCUUAUGUCUUGGGCUUCACGCAUGCUACAAUGGCCAGUACAAUGGGUUGCGAUGCCGUGAGGUGGAGCUAAUCCCAAAAAGCUGGUCUCAGUUCGGAUCGUGGUCUGCAACUCGACCACGUGAAGUCGGAGUCGCUAGUAAUCGCAGAUCAGCAACGCUGCGGUGAAUACGUUCCCGGGCCUUGUACACACCGCCCGUCAAGUCACGAAAGUUGGUAACACCCGAAGCCGGUGGCCUAACCCUUGUGGGGGGAGCCGUCGAAGGUGGGACUGGCGAUUGGGACUAAGUCGUAACAAGGUAGCGUACCGGAAGGUGCGGCUGGAUCACCUCCUUUCUAAGGAGCACUGUGGCUGGCCGUGUGGCCGGCACCCACGAUCCUCGUCAUUUUCGGCGGGGUGUGGUUGAUGCUCAUGGGUGGAAUAUCAGCAAGCGGACACGCUGUGCCCUGACACGGGAACACGACCGGACACGAGUUCUGGUGGUGGUGUUGGGGUGGCGGCGUGGUGGCACAUUGUUGGGUUGUCGAUCAACACGUCAGUGUUGGUUGGUUUCCCGCAGCAUCACGAGACUGGGAUGGUUGUCCUGGUGAGGUGGUGUUGGUGGGUUGUUGUUUGUCAACUACAUAGUGGACGCGAGCAUCUUUGACGCCGCGCACCUGGAAGGGUGUUUGGUGUGUUCUUUGAUGAUUUAUUUGUGUUGUGUGGCGUAUAAGUUGUUACGAGGACACGGUGGAUGCCUUGGC
RNAcentral lists this small RNA (777 nucleotides) under Micrococcus luteus. Its description in RNAcentral is "bacterial SSU rRNA". The stretch from base 1 to 369 matches the Rfam family "Bacterial small subunit ribosomal RNA", at positions 1166 to 1533 of the family's 1533-position model. Lineage: Bacteria; Bacillati; Actinomycetota; Actinomycetes; Micrococcales; Micrococcaceae. The record is from RNAcentral.